Molecule: ribosomal RNA, 400 nt
Filed under: uncultured bacterium
Lineage: Bacteria
Description: bacterial SSU rRNA
Rfam family: Bacterial small subunit ribosomal RNA
Source: RNAcentral
GGGGAAUAUUGGACAAUGGGCGCAAGCCUGAUCCAGCAAUACCGCGUGAGUGAUGAAGGUCUUCGGAUUGUAAAGCUCUUUUAGUAGGGAAGAUAAUGACGGUACCUACAGAAAAAGCACCGGCAAACUUCGUGCCAGCAGCCGCGGUAAUACGAAGGGUGCUAGCGUUGUUCGGAAUCAUUGGGCGUAAAGCGUACGUAGGCGGUUUAGUAAGUCGAUUGUGAAAGCCCUAAGCUCAACUUAGGAACUGCAACCGAUACUGCUUUGCUUGAGUUUGGUGGAGGAUGGUGGAAUUCCUAGUGUAGGGGUGAAAUCCGUAGAUAUUAGGAGGAAUAUCGGUGGCGAAAGCGACCAUCUACGCCAAUACUGACGCUAAGGUACGAAAGCGUGGGGAGCAAAC